RNAcentral lists this transfer RNA (107 nucleotides) under Candidatus Woesearchaeota archaeon. Its description in RNAcentral is "tRNA-Ile". It matches the Rfam family "tRNA". Rfam says of the family: Transfer RNA (tRNA) molecules are approximately 80 nucleotides in length. Their secondary structure includes four short double-helical elements and three loops (D, anti-codon, and T loops). Lineage: Archaea; Nanobdellati; Candidatus Woesearchaeota. The record is from RNAcentral.
GGGCCCAUAGCUUAGCCUGGCUGGAGCACCGGUCUUAUAAGCCGGGGGUCCGGGGUUCAAAUGAGACUUUUGCGAUUGCAAAUUUCUUGAAAAUCCCUGUGGGCCCA